Molecule: ribosomal RNA, 504 nt
Filed under: Monalocoris filicis
Lineage: Eukaryota; Metazoa; Arthropoda; Insecta; Hemiptera; Miridae
Description: partial large subunit ribosomal RNA
Rfam family: Eukaryotic large subunit ribosomal RNA
Source: RNAcentral
GCACUCCCGGGGCGUCUCUAUCUCAUUGCGAGAGGAGGCGCACCUAGAGCGUACACGCUGAUACCCGAAAGAUGGUGAACUAUGCCUGGCCAGGACGAAGCCAGGGGAAACCCUGGUGGAGGUCCGCAGCGAUUCUGACGUGCAAAUCGAUCGUCGGAGCUGGGUUUAGGGGCGAAAGACCAAUCGAACCAUCUAGUAGCUGGUUCCCUCUGAAGUUUCCCUCAGGAUAGCUUGCGCUCGGGUUAGACGAGUCUCAUCCGGUAGAGCGAAUGAUUAGAGGCCUUGGGGUCGAAACGACCUCAACCUAUUCUCAAACUCCAAAUAGAUGAGAACUCCGGCUUUCUUGAAAUUUAUUUCUGAAGCCGGGGGCUCGGAUCAGAGUGCCAAGUGGGCCGAUUUUGGUAAGCAGAACUGGCGCUGUGGGAUGAACCAAACGCGGAGUUAAGGCGCCUCAAUCGACGCUCAUGUGAAACCAUGAAAGGCGUUGGUUGCUUAAGACAGCAG